AUUGAACGCUGGCGGUAUGCCUAACACAUGCAAGUCGAACGGCAGCACAGUAAGAGCUUGCUCUUACGGGUGGCGAGUGGCGGACGGGUGAGGAAUACAUCGGAAUCUACUUUUUCGUGGGGGGUAACGUAGGGAAACUUACGCUAAUACCGCAUACGACCUACGGGUGAAAGCAGGGGAUCUUCGGACCUUGCGCGAGUGAAUGAGCCGAUGUCGGAUUAGCUAGUUGGCGGGGUAAAGGCCCACCAAGGCGACGAUCCGUAGCUGGUCUGAGAGGAUGAUCAGCCAAACUGGAACUGAGACACGGUCCAGACUCCUACGGGAGGCAGCAGUGGGGAAUAUUGGACAAUGGGCGCAAGCCUGAUCCAGCCAUACCGCGUGGGUGAAGAAGGCCUUCGGGUUGUAAAGCCCUUUUGUUGGGAAAGAAAAGCAGCAGGUUAAUACCCCGCUGUUCUGACGGUAACCAAAGAAUAAGCAACGGCUAACUUCGUG
RNAcentral lists this ribosomal RNA (492 nucleotides) under uncultured bacterium. RNAcentral describes it as "partial 16S ribosomal RNA". It matches the Rfam family "Bacterial small subunit ribosomal RNA", at positions 30 to 507 of the family's 1533-position model. The record is from RNAcentral.